AUAGAUAAUUUGCAUGUACUUAAUCAAUCUUCUGAAUCAAGUAAAAGUUUAAAAUGUUUUUUGGAAUCACUUGGGUCCACAACUGCUUCCGCAAAAGGCUUUUCAAUUAAGGUUGCAUUUCUCACUCUAGAGAACUAGCCGUGUUUCCACAGACACUAUCUCACAGUAUCCAAAGUCUCUGUUUUCACCUCUAUUCAGACUCUUUUCAGAAUCAAGUCCUUACUUGGAACGAAAUUUUAAAAGAUAACUCACACACAAGGUGCUACGAUUUGUUAGAAAACUGUCUUUUUCCCCUAAACCAUUCAGCAAAGACGGGUACUUUGGCAUGACUAACAUCCAUUUAAAAUCAAUAUUUUGAAAAUCUUUUAAAAUCUC
Molecule: long non-coding RNA, 375 nt
Filed under: Olea europaea (common olive)
Lineage: Eukaryota; Viridiplantae; Streptophyta; Magnoliopsida; Lamiales; Oleaceae
Description: long non-coding RNA (OEUR_LNC000334)
Source: RNAcentral